RNAcentral lists this ribosomal RNA (228 nucleotides) under uncultured bacterium. Its description in RNAcentral is "partial 16S ribosomal RNA". It matches the Rfam family "Bacterial small subunit ribosomal RNA", at positions 524 to 754 of the family's 1533-position model. The record is from RNAcentral.
UACAGAGGGUGCAAGCGUUAAUCGGAAUUACUGGGCGUAAAGCGAGCGUAGUCGGUUAUUUAAGUCGGGUGUGAAAGCCCCGGGCUCAACCUGGGAAUUGCAUUCGAUACUGGAUAGCUAGAGUUCGGCAGAGGGAAGCGGAAUUUCCGGUGUAGCGGUGAAAUGCGUAGAUAUCGGAAGGAACGAUCAGUGGCGAAAGCGGACUUCCAUGGACCAGCAACGUAGGAC